UUUGGGAGGGAUCAAGGGGGAGCUAGGCUCGACCUGAAGUAUAUAUUGAAUGUUGUCUCAAUGCCCACAGAGGGUGUAAGGCCCGUAAGGUCGGCGCUUAGCGUCUCUCGCUGGUUCCUCUCGAGAGUCGGGUUGCUUGAAAGUGCAGCCCUAAGUAGGUGGUAAACUCCAUCUAAGGCUAAAUACUCCCACGAGACCGAUAGCCUACAAGUACCGCGAGGGAAAGUUGAAAAGAACUCUGAAGAGAGAGUUCAAGAGAGCGUGAAACUACCACGAGGCUAAAGCGAGUGAGCGUUCGUGUCCCGUCGGCUGGACUCAACCUAUCCCGGACGAAGGCGGCGGAGGGUCGCAAUACGUAUGAGACGGAUCUCCCGCGAGUGACCCCGGAAUUUUCGGGCCUCGAGGGUUGACCGGCGUUUUCUCCGUGCGCACGAAAGGGGGAUGUACUUCCGGCAGAAUUGGGGCGUCGCGGCCGUUCGAGAGGUGUCGAAGACAAGAGGGUCUGGGAAACCGCUUUUCUCGCGAUCGUC
This 530-nucleotide ribosomal RNA is filed under the name Trichorhina heterophthalma. RNAcentral's name for it is "partial large subunit ribosomal RNA". It matches the Rfam family "Eukaryotic large subunit ribosomal RNA", at positions 149 to 653 of the family's 3401-position model. Lineage: Eukaryota; Metazoa; Arthropoda; Malacostraca; Isopoda; Platyarthridae. The record is from RNAcentral.